ACGUAAGGAGACAAACGAUUAUUCCGGAGUACUGGGCGUAAAGGGCGUGUAGGUGGUUUCGUAAGUCUGGCGUGAAAUUUUUCGGCUUAACCGGGAAAGGUUGUCGGAUACUGCGGGACUGGAGGACGGUAGAGGCGUGUGGAAUUCCGGGUGUAGUGGUGAAAUGCGUAGAGAUCCGGAGGAACACCAGUGGCGAAGGCGACUACCUGGCCUGUUCUUGACGCUGAGGCGCGAAAGCUAGGGGAGCAAACGGG
RNAcentral lists this ribosomal RNA (254 nucleotides) under uncultured bacterium. RNAcentral describes it as "partial 16S ribosomal RNA". It matches the Rfam family "Bacterial small subunit ribosomal RNA", at positions 525 to 776 of the family's 1533-position model. The record is from RNAcentral.